RNAcentral lists this ribosomal RNA (1252 nucleotides) under metagenome. RNAcentral's name for it is "bacterial LSU rRNA". It matches the Rfam family "Bacterial large subunit ribosomal RNA", at positions 1635 to 2881 of the family's 2925-position model. The record is from RNAcentral.
UAUACGACCGUACCGCAAACCGACACUGGUGCGCGAGAUGAGUAUUCUAAGGCGCUUGAGAGAACUCAGGAGAAGGAACUCGGCAAAUUGACACCGUAACUUCGGAAGAAGGUGUGCCCUAUUAGUGUGUAGUGAACAACGAAGCAUGAAUGGGUUGCAAAAAAUCGGUGGCUGCGACUGUUUAUUAAAAACACAGCACUCUGCAAACACGAAAGUGGACGUAUAGGGUGUGACGCCUGCCCGGUGCUGGAAGAUUAAAUGAUGGGGUGCAAGCUCUUGAUUGAAGUCCCAGUAAACGGCGGCCGUAACUAUAACGGUCCUAAGGUAGCGAAAUUCCUUGUCGGGUAAGUUCCGACCUGCACGAAUGGCGUAACGAUGGCCACACUGUCUCCUCCUGAGACUCAGCGAAGUUGAAAUGUUUGUGAUGAUGCAAUCUCCCCGCGGAAAGACGGAAAGACCCCAUGAACCUUUACUGUAGCUUUGUAUUGGACUUUGAACAGAUCUGUGUAGGAUAGGUGGGAGGCUUUGAAGCAGGGUCGCUAGAUCUUGUGGAGCCAACGUUGAAAUACCACCCUGGUGUGUUUGAGGUUCUAACCUAGGUCCAUUAUCUGGAUCGGGGACAGUGCAUGGUAGGCAGUUUGACUGGGGCGGUCUCCUCCCAAAGCGUAACGGAGGAGUUCGAAGGUACGCUAGUUACGGUCGGACAUCGUGACGAUAGUGCAAUGGCAUAAGCGUGCUUAACUGCGAGACUGACAAGUCGAGCAGAUGCGAAAGCAGGACAUAGUGAUCCGGUGGUUCUGUAUGGAAGGGCCAUCGCUCAACGGAUAAAAGGUACUCUGGAUAACAGGCUGAUACCGCCCAAGAGUUCAUAUCGACGGCGGUGUUUGGCACCUCGAUGUCGGCUCAUCUCAUCCUGGGGCUGUAGCCGGUCCCAAGGGUAUGGCUGUUCGCCAUUUAAAGAGGUACGUGAGCUGGGUUUAAAACGUCGUGAGACAGUUUGGUCCCUAUCUUCCGUGGGCGCUGCAGAUUUGAGGAAGCCUGCUCCUAGUACGAGAGGACCGGAGUGGACACACCUCUGGUGUAUCGGUUGUCACGCCAGUGGCAUUGCCGAGUAGCUAAGUGUGGAAGAGAUAACCGCUGAAAGCAUCUAAGCGGGAAACUCGUUUCAAGAUGAGAUCUGCCGGGGCCUUGAGCCCCCUAAAGAGUCGUUCAAGACCAGGACGUUGAUAGGUCAGGUGUGGAAGCGAAAAAA